AACGAACGCUGGCGGCGCGCCUAAUACAUGCAAGUCGAGCGAGAAGACGUAGCAAUACGUUUGUAAAGCGGCGAACGGGUGAGGAAUACAUGGGUAACCUACCCUCGAGUGGGGAAUAACUAGCCGAAAGGUUAGCUAAUACCGCGUACGCUCCUUGGACUUCGGUUCAGGGAGGAAAGCGAUACCGUGGGUAUCGCGCUCUUGGAUGGGCUCAUGUCCUAUCAGCUUGUUGGUGAGGAACGGCUCACCAAGGCUUCGACGGGUAGCUGGUCUGAGAGGACGAUCAGCCACACUGGCACUGCGACACGGGCCAGACUCCUACGGGGAGGCAGCAGUAAGGAAUAUUGCGCAAUGGGCGAAAGCCUGACGCAGCGACGCCGC
RNAcentral lists this ribosomal RNA (381 nucleotides) under uncultured bacterium. RNAcentral's name for it is "bacterial SSU rRNA". It matches the Rfam family "Bacterial small subunit ribosomal RNA", at positions 29 to 400 of the family's 1533-position model. The record is from RNAcentral.